Molecule: transfer RNA, 77 nt
Filed under: Verrucomicrobiota bacterium
Lineage: Bacteria; Pseudomonadati; Verrucomicrobiota
Description: Verrucomicrobia bacterium tRNA-Val
Rfam family: tRNA
About the family: Transfer RNA (tRNA) molecules are approximately 80 nucleotides in length.
Source: RNAcentral
GGGGGAUUAGCUCAGUUGGUCAGAGCGCUUGCAUGACACGCAAGAGGUCCCGAGUUCGAGUCUCGGAUCUCCCACCA